RNAcentral lists this ribosomal RNA (255 nucleotides) under uncultured bacterium. Its description in RNAcentral is "partial 16S ribosomal RNA". It matches the Rfam family "Bacterial small subunit ribosomal RNA", at positions 524 to 776 of the family's 1533-position model. The record is from RNAcentral.
UACAGAGGGUGCAAGCGUUGUUCGGAAUUACUGGGCGUAAAGGGCGUGUAGGCGGUUUAGCAAGUCAGAUGUGAAAUCCCGGGGCUUAACUCCGGAAGUGCAUUUGAAACUGCUAGGCUAGAGUGCAGUAGAGGAUGGCGGAAUACCCAGUGGAGAGGUGAAAUUCGUAGAUAUUGGGUGGAACACCGGUGGCGAAGGCGGCCAUCGUGGGCUGGUAACUGACGCUGAGGCGCGAGAGCGUGGGGAGCAAACGAG